This 14139-nucleotide unclassified non-coding RNA is filed under the name Homalodisca vitripennis (glassy-winged sharpshooter). RNAcentral describes it as "zinc finger SWIM domain-containing protein 8 homolog, transcript variant X4". The record is from RNAcentral. Lineage: Eukaryota; Metazoa; Arthropoda; Insecta; Hemiptera; Cicadellidae.
AUAGGAAUAGAACGGACAGAAUUACUGCAGUCUGGGUCCGCCAUGUUUGUUGUUGUCUGGUGUUGUGCUUUGUGUUGCUGAGUGCUAAAUGACUUGAAAAUCGUUGUGAAAACAGUUUUGUUAUGUCAUGUAUUUGGAACUGAUUGUAUACUGGGGUUGUAAUGUUUGUUGAAACUAAGAAAUGUGUUAUAUUUAGUUCAUUUACCUCAUAUAAACCUUUGCUUUGUUCCUAUGUGGGCUAAGGGAUUUCGGAGGUCAAGAGCCCCCAGACCCAAGUUUAAUCGCGUGUAACCUCAUCUCUGGGUCAAGGCAGGCCCUGAGGAGUUUUCUUCAAGUUUUAAUUUCACUUAGAAGCUGGCGGGAAAUUUGCCUGCCAAUCCAGAGGUCGCUGAAGACCCUGGAAUGUUGGACAUUUGGGGGGGUGAAGAAAAUGACAAUCUUUCAUUUGAGGAUUCAGAUAGGUUUGAAGAAGACUCUCUUUGCAGUUGGAGUAGUGAACCAGAAUCAGUGUGUAAUAACUGGAGAGGAUGGAAAAAACCUUCAUUAAAUUCUUCGUCUUUAUUUGGAACUUCAAAGAAGACUUCAGAUGACACGGAACGAGUAGCGGCACUGUGUGAACUAGCUGCGCGGUGUGUAGCCUCACACAUCCCGUUUGAGUUAGUGGAGCAUGUCUAUCCUCCAGUGCCGGAACAGUUACAACUGCGUAUUGCGUAUUGGAGUUUCCCUGACAACGAGGAGGAUAUACGUCUUUAUUCCUGCCUUGCUAACAGCAGUGCUGAUGAGUUCCAACGAGGAGAACAUCUCUACCGCAAUCGUGCCGUCAAAGACCCUCUGCAGAUAGGUUUCCACCUGAGUGCCAGUGUGUCUGCCACUAUCACCACUUACAAUGUAGCUGUAACAUUUGACCGCAGGCGCAUCACGUCUUGCAACUGUACCUGCAACUCCACUGCCUACUGGUGUUCGCACAUUGUGGCCGUAUGCCUGCACCGAAUCCACCAGCCUACCCAGGUUUGCCUGAGAGCUCCAGUGAGCGAGUCUCUCUCUCGACUACAGAGAGACCAGUUACAGAAGUUUGCUCAGUACCUCAUCAGUGAGCUGCCUCAGCAGAUCCUGCCGACUGCCCAGAGGCUGUUAGAUGAGCUGCUGUCUUCUCAGCCCUCAGCUAUCAAUUCGGUGUGUGGAGCCCCAGACCCAACCGCUGGAGCUUCUGCCAAUGAGCAGACGUCGUGGUAUCUAGAUGAGAAAACUUUGCAUGACAACAUUAAGAAAAUACUCAUCAAGUUCUGCGUACCUGCUCCUAUUGUCUUCAGUGAUGUGAAUUACCUGAGCAACACCGCGCCGCCUGCAGCGUCCGAGUGGACCAGUCUGUUGCGGCCUCUGAGAGGUAGAGAGCCCGAGGGCAUGUGGAACCUGCUGUCCAUCGUGAGAGAGAUGUUCAAGCGCAAUGACCGCAACGCUUUGCCUCUUUUGGAGAUCAUUACCGAGGAGUGUAUGGCUUGUGAACAGAUCCUGGUAUGGUGGUUCUACACCAAAGUGGCGCUCCACGCAGGUUACAGUGGGGGUGGUGGUGGCAAACACGGCUCCGUCAACAGCAACAGUCAGGCCAGCCAACACGCCUGCAGCUCGCUGUGUGAUGAGAUAGUAGUGCUUUGGAGACUUGCAGCCCUCAAUCCUGCGAUAUCACCGUCACAGCGUAAUGUGCUGCGCUUCCAGUUCAAGGAUUGGCACCUGAAAGUUAUUGAGAAGGUAACAAAACGGGAGAGCCUGGGCACAAGACAAGGUCACAACAAACUCAAUCCUCUGGAGGUGUUCUCUGGGUUCAAACCAGCAGUGGAGGCCUGCUUCUUGGACUGGGAUGACUACCCGCUUCCCGGCAUCACAUAUACAAGUGCCUCGUGGCUCUACAACUCCCAACCCUUCACUUGCUUCCGCCACAAUGAGCCCCCACGGAGCGAACACGCCCACAUCAACCCUGUGAACUCAUCACAGGUUGUAAUAAACCUGGAGCACAAUCCGAGAAGUUCACACCACCACUAUCAUUGCCACAAUCCCCACCUCCAUCACACCAACUCUGGGCCUAACAAGAGGCUAAUACGCAAUACAAGUGGGGCAGGACGUUCUGAAAGGCACAAUCAGAUGUACCGACUCAACUUACUGUCAUUCAUGAGCCACUCACAGAGACAGCAGCAGUUUGUGACAUUACCUGGGGCUGGGGGUAACCACAGCUCAGUGUCCAGUGAGGGCUUCUGUGACGGUGACAUGGCACCUCGGCCUGAGCAGGAGGAGACUGACUCCCAGGGUGGAGGUGGUAGCGAUUCGUCGUGGAGCAGUGGUCGUGAGGGAGAGGGAGAAGGGGUGGUGGUGGGGAGAUACAGUGGGGACGACAGUGACAGCUCACCCCCCGCUCCGGCACCCCUCCCCUCCCCACCCCGGAGACUGUCCAAAGACGAUUCUCUGUCUAGUAGCAACUCGGACUGGCAGUUGAAUAGUGGAGACGAGUAUCAUGUUUACUAUUAUGAUCCCAAGUCACUCAACAACAACAGCAACAACAACAACACUAACAACCAAGCACCCACCGUAGAUAAACUAUCGGACUCGGAUCCUGCUGCUGUCAAGGAGUCUACAGCGGUGACAGCUCAAUCGGUCCUGCAGAGUAUCCAGGGGCUGGAGGAUCCAUGGGAUAUCCUGUUUGCACGUGCUGAGGGCCUCCACGCACACGGACACGCUCGCGAGGCAUGCACUUUGGGGGUUAGACUUGCUGAGGAAAUGUUGGCUCAUCCACCUGACCUCAUGAUUGAAAUACCACCUAUUCAGGCCAAGGGCAAGAGGAAAAAGGUGAACCCAGCUUCUCACCAGCUGAGUGUUAUAGCCUCCAACACUCUGGCAAAGUGUGGCUUCCUCUGUCAGGUGUUGGCUGAGAACCCAGACUACUUCCACCUGGCCUUUAAGGUGGGGCUGUUCGGACUGGAAUUGGCUCGGCCUCCUGCUAGCACCAAGCCUUUGGAGGUGAAGCUUGCCAACCAGGAAUCAGAGCUGGUGUUGCUACUCAAGAGGAUCCCGCUAGGAGAGCAGGAGCUGGCUAUUAUACGAGAGAGGGCUCACCAGUUACGGGAGGGUUCCCUCAAGUCUCGAGGAGAGGCGCUGCUACCUAUCAACCUGGCUGGCUUCCUUCUGGACGCUCUUAUCAACACAUCAGCCAACCGAGAGUGCCGCUGUCAGCUGAUCAACCCGGGACUGCGCUUGGCGUCAGACGAGACAUUGGGCUUUGAGGCUGCCGUCGCAGCGCUAGGCCUAAAGGCCAAUGUAAGCGAAGCUGACCACCCACUUCUCUGUGAGGGCACCCGGCGCCAGAGAGGGGACCUGGCCAUCUGUCUGUUGAUGCUGUACAAGGAUGACCCCCACAAGCUGGCCCGUAUCAUGGACAAACUGCUAGAUCGUGAGGUACAUCAGCUCAUAAAGUGUUCAGUGCCACCCAGUUACUACUCCAGCAACCCACCGGUGCGCAGUCAGUUCCUGCCCACUGCGUCCACCCGCCCCCCACCCAGGAAGGACCUGGAACACCCCCCACCUCUGCCGCCCCCUGAGAUGCUAAUGGAUACCACCAUCAUCAAUGGAGCCAGCAGUAGGCCACAGAGUUGUACCAGUGCAGAGCUGGAACAAGGAUUGGUCAACCUGUCCCUGAGCAGUCCAGGCACCAGCCUUGUCACCCCACCCCUGACUAUGGGCACCCCUCUCACCCCUUCGACCACUAGACCCAAGGAGACAACAUCCAGGUUUAAAGGAAAACGAGCGUAUCCAUCAAUACCAAACCAGCCGUCAGAAGCCGGAGCCCACUUUACAUUCGAGUUGGCCAAGACUGUACUGAUGAAGGCCGGGGGAAACAGUUCAACUUCACUGUUCACACAGGCCUCCACCUCUCAGAACCAUCACGGGCCUCACCGAGCCCUACACAUGUGUGCCUUCCAGCUGGGCUUAUACGCUCUGGGCCUGCAUAACUGUGUCAGUCCGAACUGGCUCAGUCGCACGUACUCCUCACAUGUCUCGUGGAUCACUGGUCAAGCCAUGGAGAUCGGGGCACCGGCCAUCUCAUUUCUGAUGGACACAUGGGAAGGACACCUCACACCUCCCGAGGCUGUCAGUAUCGCCGACCGAGCUUCACGUGGCUGUGACCCCAAUAUGGUGGCGGCGGCGGCACAGCUGGCUCUGUCCUGCCUACCCCACGCGCACGCACUCAAUCCCAACGAGAUACAACGUGCCAUUCUGCAGUGUAAGGAGCAGAGUGACAUGAUGCUGGAACACUCCUGUCUCACUGUGGAGAGUGCGGCCAAGGGUGGAGGUGUCUACCCGGAGGUGCUGUUCCAGGUGGCCAAGUACUGGUACGAGUUGUACAUCAGGCAUUCGCCUGGUAAUGGAGAGGUGUUCAUGGAGCAACAACCCGAGGUACAGCAGCCAGAGGAACAAGGUCCGCCAGGGCUGGUGGAACAAGUGGUGGUGUGUGGGGAACCUCCACCUCAGCCCCAACCCCCACCUUUACCUCCACCCACACAUCAGCCUCCACCACCGUAUCAUCCUCCACCACUCGCUCUGCCUUAUACCAUUGCACCCUUCGGUUUUACCGUACAACCUGUGCUUCAACUAGCCCGCCAUCCUCACCCUCAUGUCACCCAUCAGGUCUAUCAUCUCUCCCCACCCACCUUCCAAUACCCGCCACAUGCUGCCAACAAUCAACCCGCCUAUGCUAGCAUCUCUCAGCCACCAGGACUGCAGUAUUACGGAGUCAGAUCCCAUGGCUCAGUACCACAUCAUGUGUUCCCCAUAGCUGCCACCAUGCAACCUGCCACACUCACUCCGACUCAGAUUGUGCUGACACAGGCUCCCAGUACGCAGUGUGUAACACAGGCAGUGUCUCAGCUGUCCCUACCCAGACCCCAGCCUCAGCAACAGGUCCACAGACAGACACAGCAGUACAGCCAGACCCAGCUGCGCUAUCUACUGGCUGCGUACCGUGUCGGCAUGUUAGCACUGGAUACACUAUCUCGCCGGGUACAUGAUGAUCGUCCCCAGGCCAAAUAUGCCCGCAAUCCUCCGUAUGGUGAAGAUGUCAAGUGGCUUCUCCGUGUCUCAAAAAAAUUAGGCACUCAGUACCUUCACCAGCUGUGCGUGUGCGCGGUGAACAGCAUCGUUAGCCCGUUUGUGCUGCACGACAUGGCUGUAGAGGCUGCACACUACCUGUCUCCCGAGAACCAUUAUUGUAACAAUCCUGGGCUGGUCAUGCAGCAUCUGCGCACCACACUAACCCCCCUAGUCCACAAGUGCCAGCAGAUGUAUAUCCAGUGUAUGCACCAGAAGCUGUACCAUCUUACCACUGCUGAUUAUGAGGACUUUGUCAACAUUGUGUGUUCGGCCCGUGCUGCUUUCCAGAUCACACCUGAAGGAAAUGCUCAGUUCAAAGAGUGGCUCCAGUCGAUACGCAGAUCAAAGUCAUGUAAGAAGGACCUCUGGACCCAGAUAAACGCAGCCCUGCAAGCUAACAGUAAAUGACAAAGGCCUGAGUUAGGUGCAUUACAUUGCGUAGACAACAGCUGGGUCUCUCCUGCUGAGUCUCCGCCCCCGUGGAACAGUUAGGCGAGCUGGAAUAUCACUUGUUUUGAACUCUCUUAAAAAUUAUAUAGAUUCAGGGAGGUUACUUGUUGUUAUUGUGCAUAAAUCGAUUAUUAUUUCUGUAGAAUCUGUUAGAUCGCUUAAAUCAACGACUACAUAAAUUUCCUUUUAAGUAUUCUUAAUUCUCAGCACUGAAUAGUUCUUUUUAGAAUAAAAAUCUUGUAUUUAUGUAAGAAAUAAAAUGGUUUUCAAUUUGUUUGAAUAUAAUCUUGAAUUUGCUUCAAACAAAAACAUGUAUAUGGUCUAGAUCUUUCUAGUAUUGUGUCUGUACUUUUUUAUACUAAAGUUGAAUGUCGGGAACAACAAUAUAAUGAUACCGUAGUUUACAGCAGGGAUCUGUAAACUCAAAAAUAUAUUUUAUGGUACGUGUCUUACAAAUCAACUGUAAGUCGUAUAUUUCAGCUCAGUAAUUAGGUUUUACUUAUUUUGUUAUCGUUUACGAUCAUUGUAUAGAAAUGUUACACUUAUAUAGUUUCCCGUUUGUCUUGUGCAUGACGAAGCGCUGACUGGUCAUUAGUUAAGUUUCCCGUAUUUCCUCAAUCUUAACCUGUUCCUGAAACAAUUUCAAUUCAAAACUCUAGAUAUAAUAUACAUUCUCAGUUAACAUGAGAGGUUUAGAUUGCUUGCAGCAAACAUUAUAAGAUGAAAUAAUUAUUCUAAUAGUCAAAAACAUGUUUAAAAUUACAGUGAUAAAAAUUUAAAAACAAUAUUUAAUUACUUUUUUUGUUUAAAUGACAGCAUGUCAAGGCUCAAUCUCGGUAUUUCAUGGGGAAAAUUAACAUUGAUAUUGUUAGAGUAACUGGUUUGAGUUAAAACCACUGGUGACUUAUCACUACAUAUUAGUACAAGCUUCUACAAAUAAAUAUAGUUUUAAUUGUAAAAAAAAAUACUUAAUAUAAACAUGUAUGUAAAAAAAUAGUUUUUGCUUACAUGAAACAAACAGCAUAGUAAUUUAGAUUCUUAAAAAUGAAAAGUAUAUUAUUGUUCUUCACAUAUUAAAAAUAAAAUUUAAACAGAUUAUUUGCAAAUUCUGAUGUUUUUCACAUUUUUAAUUGAAUCUGUUCAAAGAAGUUAGACAUGUUAAGACCUUAAUCAGUUCAUAGCAACAUAUAUCAGUACUGUUAUAAUAUAAACGAUCUAUAUGCAGUUUAAUUUCUAGGUGUAGUUAAAUCAUAUUAAUGAUAAGUAUCUAGCCAAGUAACUAAUUAAUAAUUGAUUUUGCAAAAUAUGUAUAAUUUUGCACAGGACAGGAUAACAUUGAGAAAAUACAGCACGAAUAGUUAGAGUAGAUAACUCAACGUGUAUCCCAUCUAGUUAGUUUCAUUUUGAAUUAUAGGAAAUGCUAUUAUUGCAUUAAAUAUAAAUAUUUAGUUUUGAUAACGUGCAUUAGACUUUUUCAAUUACGUAGAUAAAAUGGCGUUUUACGUAGAAGAUAUCUCUGUGUAUUCUCGGUGUAUAAUUUUAUUAUAAACAAAGUAUAAUUAUAUGACAAUUGAGGUUCCAGGAUGUGUAGAUUUCUCUGCUACUUGUUAUGAAAAUAAAAAUCUCAAGGAUAAGUUUACAUCUGUCUAAGUAUUAAUGGUAUUCUUCUUAAAUAAGGUAUAAAAAAUAAAGUUGAGUUAAAAAUUGUUGAAAAUUUGAUAAUUUCUUUGGUUUUAUUGGUAUGGAUAACACUGUAAAACUCCUCUUGAGGAGCAGUAUAACGGAGUUUAGUUGUUGUUCUUUUGAGGUUCGUUAGGCAUUAGAGAAUUUAGUUGUCAAAUUAAAAAUACUCAAAGUAUUUCCAUGACAUUCUACAAAUGGUAGAUAUACAAGGUGAUUGUACUUGAAUACAGCCAGGUGGGAUGCUACAGGUGAUUGUACUUGAAUACAGCCAGGUGGGAUGCUACAGGUGAUUAUACUUGAAUACACCCAGGUGGGAUGCUACAGGUGAUUAUACUUGAAUACAGCCAAGUGGUUUGCUACAGGUGAUUGUACUUGAAUACAGCCAGGUGGGAUGCUACAGGUGAUUGUACUUGAAUACAGCCAAGUGGUUUGCUACAGGUGAUUGUACUUGAAUACAGCCAGGUGGGAUGCUACAGGUGAUUGUACUUGAAUACAGCCAAGUGGUUUGCUACAGGUGACUGUACUUGAAUACAGCCAGGUGGGUGCUAUGGCUGAGGCCAGAAUAAAAACAGCUCAACCAGAAUUGAUAGGUAGGAAACCAGUUUAUUUUUUAAACAUAUGUAAUAAAAGAAGGAUUAGAAAGAUAAAUAAUAACAGUUUAUUCUUGUUUUUAGACUAUCUAAAUUCACAUUUUUAUCUAUUGUUGUCCUUUUGGUUGUGAAUUAAUUAUAAGAAGAAUAUUUCAAGCGUUUUUAUUUAACUAUCAUUGAAAUUGGAUUGUUAUCUUUCUUUCAAGGUCUUUAAAUCUUACUAAAACCUAAGUUGUAAUAUCGUAUGGAUGAACAUGUCAGAUGAAAAUUGUAGUAAAACUAUUAAAAAAAUGUUUUUUGUCCUAAACCAUGGAUCUUUAAAAUACAAUUUAACACUUAGUAUUCAAACUCUACAUAGCAAAACAAUUAAAAUAAAGGUAAUGGUUUAAUGUGCACAUAAAUAAAAAUGUAAUUUAACUUAUUGUUAGGUACAAUCAAAAUAACAAAAAGGCUUGUCUUCUUCAUUGUGCAAUACGAUGACCUUCAGGUGAUCUCAAUAGCUUGGGAUAAUAAAAAGAGUCAGAAGGGAUUCAGAAAGCAUUACUCAAUUCCACUGUAGAAUCUCAGCAGCCAUCUCAGAAAACACAAGUGAGACAGGAACAACACCUCCCCCUCCCUCUCUUCACUUCCUUAGGAGUCAUUUGUUGUGCAGUAUGGGGUUCACAUACAAUAAUUGUAGCCUUUGAACAUGUGCCGACAUGUGCCUAAGAUCAUUGUAGCAUGGAGUGUCUCGAGGUUACAUGGUUACAGAUUUACAAAAUAAGGACUCACAGUAAUAUUUGUGUUAGUUUUAUUUCUGUAAUACAAAAUUAAAACUAUCCGUUGCUAUUUUAAAAAUUAAUUGACUAAUCGUUUCUAUAUAUACAGAAUUAAGAUAUAUACACAAUCUUAAUUGACAUAUAUAUAUAUAUAUAUAUAUAUAUAUAUAUAUAUAUAUAUAUAUAUAUAUAUAUAUAUAUAGAGAGAGAGAGAGAGAGAGAGAUUGAUUUUUAAUGAUUUGACCUUAGACUCAGUAAUUAUAUAAUAGCUAGGAUUUGGGUUACAGAACAUGGUUGUACUUGCACUUCUUUGUUAUUAAAUUAAUUAACAGGAUAAACAAACAACAAAUUUAGUGUUGGUUGGAAAAAUUAUGUAAGAAUAAAGUGAUAGUUCAGUGCGUAAUGUCAGCAAAGUACAUGUCCUACCUGCCAGGUUAUUUGUGUAAAGCACAGGUAGAGGUCUCACGUCCUGGAUUCCUUUAUAAUGGGUUCGUUAUGGAUUUUGUUGCACUAUAGAAGAAUUUUAUACAAUUUCAUUUAUAAAGAAAUUAUUUAUUAUUACAAGUAUAAGUAAAGUGGAAUUCAGAUGUAUUAUUUAAGUUGUAGUUUUAUCUAUAUCUCAAAUAGACACUUAAUAGCUAAUUGUAGUAUUUUAAUUUAUUGUUAGUAGUUUUUAAUAAAUAAAAAUAAACUUUUCUUUGUAUAUUUUUGGUUUUAAGCAAAUGUUAGUUUAUAUUAAAUGCGUUUUAUUAUAAGUUUUAUAAUUAGUAAUAUUAGUUGUAGGUCUUGAGUAUUUUAAAAUUUAUGAUAAUAUUUCUUCAUGUAUUACAUUAAAUUCAUUGUAUAUGUCAUAAAUGAAGCGAAUUACUUUUAUAUCUCUAUGUCGAAAUACUUAUUGUAGCCAAUUUGAACAAUUGGUUACCAGACUAUACCAUAUAAAAAGCAAAAGGUAACAAAAGUUCUUAAAAUAAUAAUUGUCUUAAAUUGUUUUGGAAUCAUUCCACACAAUGUAAGUUUUAUUGCGUCCAAUAUUUUGUGGUUAGUUAAAAAAUGUAUCAAAUAAUUUGCUCAACUGUGAAGUACCGUAGCCAUUUGCUCAAACACAGUAAAUGGUGUUGAGUGCAACGGACACAAAAUCAUCACAUUCUCUCCAGCAUACAUUCCUCUGCCUUGUCAUCAGUUGCUGUAAAACUUGUCAAAAUUAUUCUAACCCAUCACAUUCCAAGAAAAUGUUCACAUUUAAUGUCAGUCUUACUUCUCAUUUUUCUCUUUGUUUUUCAUAAAAGUCAGUCUUACUAGAUUGUGGAUCAUUUAUUUGCUUGUUUUUGUGAUUUUUCCCUUGAAAUAAUUGUUUGUUUACACUUCGUAGUGGAGCAUAUUAGAGUACGGUGUACAAGCACUUAACUAUAUUUACUACUCUUUGGUAUUCCAGAAUGAGUGAAGUUCUGUUUUCCUUUGGUAGAGCACACUUCAUCUAAUGGAUGUAAGUCAAGCCUUUUGAUAUGCUUCCAUUGAUAUUUUAUCAUAGAAUGUGGAAUGAUAGUGUCGUACGGAAUAUUAGUCUUUUGUAAUCUUAAUAUUUAAAGCUGUUUACUAUAUUACUGUUUGGUAUUCUUCAGCAUCUUCAAACAAAAUUUCUACAGUGAAAAUUUUGAAUGAAAUUGUAAAUUUAAUGUAAGUUAUAGGUUUAUAAAUCAGAGAAGUAGAACUAAAAUUAACAUAGAUAAUAAAAAUUGUACAUUACAUCCAGAGCCUGGGUAGUGAUUGUGAGGCAUGGGCAGUUCAGAUCUAGGUCUGCAGUCAGUGGCUCAGAUUCAUAUAAUUAAACAAAAUGAACAAUGCUUUAUAAGUUAUGCCAUAUCAAGCUCCCCUCACCCCCAUGUUAUAUGAAAGACUUUAAUACAAACAAGAUACAAUAAAUACAAGGGCUAUAUCAAAAGUAACCUCUUGUUUGAUUAUUAAAAAAUACCCAAUCAGAUAAACAUAUUUUAUUGUGUUUUGUGUUUUUAUACAUUUGAAAACUACAUAUGUUCUCCAUUUUUCUCAUUCGAUAUUAGGAUUUAAGCAUUUAUCAUAUCUUUUAACUAAUUUAGAAAUGCCUUUUUCAAACAAAUCUGCCGCCUAUACUUUUAGCCAGCCAGUGACAGAGAGGGAGAGAGCACUACCUCACUACUACCAAUGGUGCUUACUUUUGCAAUAGCCCUCGUAUUAGCAUUAUUAUUAAAUUAAGAUAAAUUAAGAAAUAAAUUUCACAUAAAAUUCUGUAUAUUGAAAUAAAUAUAAGAAAAACUUAAUAAUGGAAAAGAAAAAAAUAAAUAUCAAAAACUUUGAACCACUCUUGCUGAUCACACAUCUUUGUCUGUGUGAUCUAUUACAAAUUGUUGUUGAUCAAAGGAUGAGAAUUUUUAGUAAUAAGACUCCUCUUCUUGUAGGUCAUUCACUAAUAUCAGAGAUAAAUUAAACUGAUUGGACGGGUAAACAAGAAAUUUAGUUCUGAUAAUAUAUUCUGAAAUUAGCCAAAUUUCAGUACAGAAAUUUUUUUUGAAAUAAUGUAAAACUUGUUUAAGAUUUUCAGUCACAGUGAAAUGCGACACUGGCACAUGUGAGCAGAGAGCACAGAAUGGAAUGCCUGGCGGGGUUCCUCCUCCACCCACACGUCUGGUCUGUGUGUGAGACGGUUGGUAACUUAAUGAUUGGCCAGCAAAGGGAGGCCUAGGAGGCGGAGAUAAUUAAAAGAAUUGAGGUAAACAGGCUGAUAACACCCAUAUAUCCAUAGAAUAGAAAAUGAGAGGACUCGGAGGCCGAGGUACCAAACUACAGGAGAACAUGAGAGAUUGACCUAACCCAGAGUCCGAGAUAACUGAGGUACAAGGGGCCCCGAGAACUACAAUUAGCAUUGACUUGUACCAGGAGAACAUAAGAGAUUGACCUAACGGGAACCCAGAGUCCGAGAUAACUGAGGACAAGGGGCCUCGAGAACUACAAUUAGCAUUGACUUGUACCAGGAGAACAUAAGAGAUUGACCUAACGGGAACCCAGAGUCCGAGAUAACUGAGGACAAGGGGCCCAGAGAACUAGAAUUAGCAUUGACUUGUACCAGGAGAACAUAAGAGAUUGACCUAACGGGAACCCAGAGUCCGAGAUAACUGAGGACAAGGGGCCUCGAGAACUACAAUUAGCAUUGGCUCGUACCAGGAGAACAUAAGAGUCACUUCAUCUGUAUUGAACAAAAAAAAGAAAGGAUCCAAUCAUGUAAGAAUUAGCAACAUUUAUGUCGUAGAGUCUGAAAAACCAAUACCAGCUAAUCUGUUUGAAAUAAAUAUACUGAGCACAUGUAUCUAAAGAGUUUUUUUUUAUUCAAAGAAAUAUUCAAAAAUUCCGUUGAAUAAAAAUUGUGACAACCCACAAUAUUUAGGACUAGGACGGAGCUGGGACAACAUGGGGCACACUUCUGCCUUGUCCUUAGUAUACUCCACUACCAUGGCUUCUACUAAGUAAUGUAUUUCCUCUUGCAAUAACACACAAGGAAGUGCUAUUAAGAGAACUUGAGAAAAUUAUACCUGCACCACAUUCUCCCAUCAGACCAGACCACCCGCUACAGGAGAGCAAACAACUCAGGUCUCACACUGCCAGCUGGGCGUCUCAGUGGGAUUGUUUGAGGCACAAAACAAUACUUGGUAUCCUACUUUACCAUUAGAUAGAAUGUAUAUACUUUGUAUUUGCUGAACUGUGGAUCGAUGUAACUUCUACAAGGUAAGGGGAGACAGACUGAAGAUUAGGCAGAAUCCAGACAAUAAAACAUAUUUACAUUCUUGUUCCAGUGUGUCGUUUUCAAGAGAGAUGGAGGAGUUCCAUAAAGGCAAUACGGAAAAUAGAAUAUUUUUAGAAGACUGGUAUGUUUUGGAUUUACAAAUAUUUGUUCCAUUUUCUUAGGUUUGUGCUUAAUUUUCUUAUAAAAAACCUACUCAUCUUAAUCAAUUUCUAUUAAAAUGAAGUAUUCUUAAUCUUUGAGGCACCUACAUUUUUUUAUAUAGAAAUUUAUUUUUGUUCUGAAAGCCACAAACUUUCUUUAAACAGUAAAAUAAGCUCUUUUGUAACAAAGGUAGCAUUUGAAUGGUCAAUUUCUAAGUUUUACUUUAGUUUAGUAAAUAAUCAAUUUUUCAAUCUAUAAAAUACAUGUUCAACUCAAUAAUACAGCACAAUACAAUAUAAUGCAAUAUUUGUUAUAUUAACUGUAACCUGUAUACACUUUUGGAAUAGUUGGAUAGUUUAACUCCUCAUCCAAGAAUAAUAUUUUUUGUGUUAUCAAGCUUUUGGAACUAAAGAAGACAGCCAAAGAGAUUAAAUUAACAAUUUAUUGCUUUACAAUUUCCACAGAUAUAUAUUUAAAAAAUUAUGGUUGCAGGAACUGCACAAUGAAUGAUGUUGAUUUAACUCCUUAAUUGGUAGCUUAAUUAUGAAUAUUACAACACACGUGCUCAUGUCUCUGGUCAGUGUUCCUGCUCAGGCUCUACCUCACAAUUCGCUAGUUUAUCGUUAUUGUGUGUUAUGUAUGAGAUGAGAUAAAUAAGGUUUCUGGUACUUCUCUCACUGUCACCGAGCUAUGGUUUAGCAAAUAUUUACUUAUGCCAUUCUCUCGAUAGAUUUGUAUUGACUAGUUAAAUGUUAGCAUAGCCUACAGUGUUGUCAGUCGUGGUUUAUUAAGUGUCUCUUGACUUUCCAACACGGUAAGCUGUAAAAGUGUGGCGACAUUGAAUGAGAAAUUGAAAAAGUUAAUUUUAUACAAUCAUUGCCCACAAAUAUUGUUUUACAAAAACCUCUCAGGAUGAACUGGACGUAGAAAAAACGAUAGUGUGUUGCAAUUAAAUUGAACAUUUUAUUUUCUCUCUUUUAAUUCUCUAUAGUAAAUUUAUGGACAACAACUUGUUCGUAACACUUUUGCAGUUGAACUAAAGUGAUGUUAAUAUUUUUUUUCUAAUGAAAAGUAACGGCUAUAUAUAAAAGUAUAUGAUAACUAGUAAAUGAUUUUAUUGUAUCAGAUAAACAAAUAUAUAUAUUUACAAGUAAGAAUAGAUAGUAUGCACUCUGCGACAAGGUUGUGUUCAGUCUAUGUUAAUUAAUUAUGAUCUCCAUCUCCGAUGUACUCAAGGACUUGCGUUACAUUGUCCACACGUUUAAGGUUAUGUUGACUGUGUUGUGUGUGUAAGUGCCUUCGUCUUGGCCGGUAUGUACAAGCUAUGAACGUACGAUCACAUCUUGGUACACAUUUUACAUGAUAAUUUACAGUAUUUCGUUACUUAGAAAAUCUCUCUAAUUGUACUUAAUCCAAAGUUUGUGUUGUAAACGUUCUCUUUUUCUCUAGCUCUAGUGUCAUGUAAGUUGAUAUUUUACUCAAAAACUCUGUUCACCAGAAUGUAGUACAAUUUUAUUGUAUGUAAUAUUUGAUGUGAUGAGGCACUUGUUCACAACACAGUUAAUGUUAUUGUUAUGUUAUUCUCAAAUUAAAGCAUUGUGUAUAUUUCAAA